This is a long non-coding RNA of Acinonyx jubatus (cheetah), 606 nucleotides long. RefSeq lists it as uncharacterized. Lineage: Eukaryota; Metazoa; Chordata; Mammalia; Carnivora; Felidae. The record is from RefSeq and is a predicted model, not a curated record. The transcript is spliced from 3 exons.
AAUAAGGAGAGAGUUGCAGAAUAGAGGAAAUCCUCAGGAAAGCCUUAAGAGAAGCUUCCCCAUUAAAGCUGGGCCUCCUUUCCAUCCCUCUGGAUGUGGCUCCUACAGCCGCAUCAGCAACGGAGCCCAGAAGCCAGCGGUGUGUGCGGCUCCCUGGUGUCACAAAGACACAUGCACCUGAGCGGCGCUGGACAGAGACCGAGGGGAGCACCUGCAGCGCGUGAGAGCCAGAAGGGGCCUUGGGAUCACCCGGUGCCGCCCUUGAUUCACGGAGGAAGGAAGGCGAGGCCGAGAAAGCAGGAAGGGACUCUGUUAACCGAUGGCAAUUUCGAACCAGGGCCUCCUUUCUGUGUGAGGAGGGGAAGUGGUGGGAGCAGCCACCGUGGAUAAAUAUGAAAUGCUUCCCCCUGGAGCUCAGAGCCCUCUCGGCCAGCUGUUCUGCCUCCUUGAGGGCGAGACUGUUCAUACCAUUCCUCUACUGGAGACCCCUUACCAGGCUUCUAGGUGCUUCUCAGACCCAGCCCAGCAGACGCCUCCUCCCUGGCUGGGUCCUGGCCCCUCCCCGGCUUGAGCAGUGCCCAGAGAGAAGUGCCAGGAUGGGAUCGA